Long non-coding RNA from Alligator sinensis (Chinese alligator), 2142 nucleotides. RefSeq lists it as uncharacterized. The transcript is spliced from 6 exons. The record is from RefSeq and is a predicted model, not a curated record. Lineage: Eukaryota; Metazoa; Chordata; Crocodylia; Alligatoridae.
GCUUGAUGUGACUUUUUUUUCUCUCUUUUCCACGCAUAUAUAAUGAAUACCUGAAAACUCUUGGGAUGCGUGUCUUAUCUUCCUGUUUUUUCUGGAGAACUGCUGGUGGCUCAAUGCUACAGUACAGAUUGCAGGGCUCCUGGUGUGCUGGAUCUGGACCUACCUCCUUUGGCAGGAUAAGCAGUGUUGGCAUGAGCAGCAUCAUGAAUGACUGGUGCCUCCUGAGACUGGGGGAGGCACUGUGGCAGUGAGCGGUAUGAACAGAUGAACUAAUAAACCAGUGUAAUUUAAAGCAGUUUUGGUAUUGUGAUGGAAGCCAACAAAUGUGAAACCAUAAUUUGUUCUAUAUAUGGAUUUCUGAGCAUUGGCUCUCAAACAGAAGCCAUUAAGCUACCUCAUUGUUAAGAAGCAUGGAGACUGGUUAACCAGUGUACCCUGAAGUGAUGAUUCCCUGACACCUUCUGGGAUAGGAAGUGACAUGUCUUCAAGAGAAACUGACCUUAAAAUUCUUGGAAGUCCCUGGAAUUCACUUUUCAAAGAACUGCCUCUGGCAAUGAGAUGACAGUUUCUUCUGCAUCAAGGCAACUCUUGAUGGAAAUAUCAUCCACGGCUAAUUAAUAUAAAAUAUAAAGAUUUUGAUGAGAAUGGAUAUCCAUAUCCACAUUCAUAGGACUGGGCAAGGACUGACCACCCUCUUCUACUGGGAUUGGGCCUCUGGGGUCCAGGCAUCACCCCUUCCCAUCUUUGUGCACGCCUGUGUGAGAACAUGCUUAAACCCAGAGAAAAUCUACUGCUGUUUUUUUUUUGGUUUGGGGAAAGUUCUAAAUUACAAGAUGCCUAGAGAGACUUCCAGUGGCUCUAUAUCCUGCAACACUGGACCUCAGAGCAACGAAACGUAUCCUUGGUACACCAAGCAGCACCUCCUCCAUUAGGUUCUCCUGCCUUUUCUUUCUGAAUAAGCUGUAUGCUUCCAUAUCAGUAAUAUAUUCAUAGGAAUUAUGCCACCAAAUCUUUAUUAUUUAUGUCAAUUGAGUCAUAGAUUUGAUUAUGUAUUAAUACUUGCAGUUCUUUCUGUUUACCACACUUUGUACAGGCAUCUAUGAAGUUCAGGAGAUUGACUCACUGUUUUCCUUGUGCAUUGUGAUUACCCACAUCAAACUAGGUUUCAGGGCUUUGUCCAGAUCAGUGAAAUUAAUACUGACUUAUGAGAUUCUGUCAGUGCUCCUUGUUGAACCUAUUUAAAGUCAUCAACAAAUAAAAAAAGGCUGUCACCAAAGGUGCUCUAGCACAUUUUUAGUGGAGGGUCCCAUCCCUGCGCAACAAUUUCCUUUCUCAGAAUAUCAUUUGUGUAGCCUUAAGAACACAUAGUUUAAUUAAGAAAUAUUUGAAGUAGGGGUGUAUUAUACCCCUUUUUGUAAUGUAGCCAAAUUGAGGAAGGGAGGGUAGAAAACUUGCAUGAUGAAUUGGUGACAAUACUUAGAAGAAAUGCUAGUUAUCCUGAUUCUCAAUGUUCCUAGGCACUUCCAAUUUUUAAUUUAAUUUUUAUUUAAUUAAUUGUUUUAUUAUGUGUUUUUGUAGUUAGAUAUUGAGCAGAUAUUGUGUACUCUGGAGGAUAAUAUUUGGAUUGAUGUAGAUUACCUGAAUAGUUACAGAUAAUUGCAUGAAAUUAAAUCAGCUCACCAUACUAUCUUUAAUGUUCAUAUUUUUUUUCUUUUUAUUGAGGCAUGUAUUUCAUUAACUAGUACGAGCAUUUCAUUAUGUAAUGCUUAUGAUGUCAACACUGUCUGUGAUGAUCCUGUUCCCAAAUGCACUUGAAUUAUAUUCUUAACAACUCUCAAAAUCUAACUAGAAAAAUACUUAUUAAACCUGUUUUUCAUUUGUACUUGUUGUAACUCUACAUAUUGUGAAGAAAAUUAUUUUCUAGUGCAAGGAAUAUCCCUGGGUAUUACCAUGGCUUCAUUGUGCUUUAAGUAUCUGCAAUAAUAAAGAAAAUGACUGAAAAAUAAUUGAAAAUUAAUUUAUUACGUUUCAUCCCAAAUACCUCGUGUUUUACAUUACACAGAGAAAUUUUAAAAGUCUCUUAUGGUAUUCAUAAAAUAUCUGUGCUAAAAAGUCAGAACAAUUUCCUUCGCUUACAUUUUU